Molecule: RNA transcript, 3039 nt
Organism: Trifolium pratense (red clover)
Lineage: Eukaryota; Viridiplantae; Streptophyta; Magnoliopsida; Fabales; Fabaceae
Gene name: splicing factor 3B subunit 2-like
Exons: 4
Source: RefSeq, a predicted model, not a curated record
UUUGAGAAGUUUAGUUUCACUGAUGUCGCUGCUUCAGAGGAAACUGAUAAGAAGGACGAGGUGGCAGAAAAUGCAGUUACUAAAAAGAAGGCUGGUUCUGAUUCUGACUCUGACGAUGAAGAAAACGAGCAAGAAGAAAAAGCUUCAAUGAAGAAUGAAAAUUGCUGAACUGAAACAAGUUAGUUCAAGACCUGAUGUUGUUGAGAUAAGAAUGUUUUAUAUAGUACAAUUAGUUUCAAGUUGUUGGGUCUCCGUUUCUUUCAAUGCCGUUUUGCAAAUGUUAUUGCAUAAUUUCCUUUUCAUUUUUCAGGUUUGGGAUGCUACUGCAGCAGAUCCAAAGUUGGUGAUGUUUUUGAAACCAAGGCAUUGGUGUCAAAAGAGAAAAUCUUUGCAGGUUAGUCAGCAUCCUGACUGGAUAAUUAUAGGUUAAUUUUUUUAUUAAUGGCAAAUGAUAAUUAUAGGUUAAUGAUGCAAGCAUGUCUGAUGGUUGUGCCCUGCAUGAGUGAUGUAGAAAUAGGGUGAGGACGAUGACGUCGAUAAGGUUUCUCUUAUAUAUGUAUGUAUGUGAUGCUUGCAGCGGAGCAGCUGUGGCAAUCACCAACCCUGGACUUGUAGGUGUUUGGAAAUGGGCAUUCCUUGAGUUUCUCUUUUGUUAUCUCUGGUAUAUUGAUUAGGAAUAUGGUGCUCAUACUUGUCUUAUGUUAUAUGACUGGGACCUAUAGUCAUAUGACAUUUUUGCAUAAUAUUAAUGGGCAUUUAUUUGUGACAAAGGUGCUAAUAGCUCUACUUUGAAUUUUCAGAUGCCUUUCCAUUGUGCUUAAUGCUCGGGCUGAAUUCGUCUUCAAUUUUUAAUGAUUGAUAUUACUUAGCUUCAUUAUAUAGUCGAUGCUGACAUAUAUUAAGUUAUUAGUUAUCUCAUCAGAAAUUAUGUCAUUGUUUUGGCAGGGGAAACAUGGUAUUGAGAAACAACCCUUUCAGCUUCCUGAUUUCAUUGCUUCCACUGGUAUUGAGAAAAUUAGACAGGUAAUCUGACCUGUUUGCUUCUAUGUGUGUGUGUGUGUGUGUGUGUUAUAUGUUAAAUGCAGAGUGACUCCCAGUGUGAUGAUAAAGGUACUAUUAAUUUAGUUUACCAUUGAGGCUUAUCUUUAGCUAUGAAGUGAAAAUAUUAACAACAUAUUGAUUUUGAGUUUGCAUACUUACAUCAUACAUUUUUAAUUUGCUUGGACAGUUUGCAUGCUCUGAUUGUUCCAUCCCAACAAGUGAGCUUAAUUGUUAUUCAAUUUCUCCAUUUUCUUUCUUCUUUUUCUUCCUGUGUUUUUCUUCCUAAUUUUGCGUGUAUCAUUGUUGCUUUUCAUCUUUAGAGGGUAAUAUAAAAGUUCAACUUCAGGAAAAAAAGAUAAAGGAUUAAUCCGAAGUCCCUUACUGCACAUUAAAUAUUGUAGUCCCUUACUUUAAAUUCAUGCCUUAAAUUUGCUAAAUGAUCACAUGGUCUAUCUUAACAAUUAACAUUUCCGAAUUUCAAUAACCAUAGUCUAUGAGUGAACCUCCAAUUCCCUGUUUUAAAUUGUGUUUUUAUUUUAACAAAAGGAUGCAUCUAACACUUGAUAGUGGAAAAUGUAUUUUGCAUAGAAAACCAAGGUCCCAGGAAAUUAGUGGGGAGCUUUACAUCUCUAGAGUGUGUUUUUAAAUUGUGCUUAUUCUCUGUAUGAGUGUAGCCAUAAGUGUAGCUUUCAAGUUUUCAAUAGAGGUUUUUAAAGAAUCCUCUUGAUUCCUUUUGUCAAAAGUGUUUUUAAUGAUAUAGAAUGUUUUCAUUUACUUUGAUGUUUCCACUUAGCUUCAAUAUGUUGGAUUCUAUUACUUUCUGUUUACAUCAAAUUUUUGUUUACUUCUUAAAUGGCCAUUAUUGAUUUGGCAAAGAUGAAAUAAUUUAUUUCUAAUCAUAUAUGUUUUAACCCAAUCAACCAAUCAUAUAUGUUUACUUUCACUUAAUUACUUUUUGUGUUAUCUCCUUUUUUGUUUACUUUUUAUUUAUGUAAAAAAAUUGGUCUUAAACACUCUUUCUAUGGAGAUUGAGUUAACGUCCAGUUUAGCAUUGUAUGGAAGACUAUGUUUAGGUACUAUAAGAUAUUGCUUAAAGGUGUUAACACAUUUUCUAUAUUUUGUCCUAGCUUCAAUAUGAUGAUUCUAUAACUUUCUAUUUACAUCAAAUUUUUACUUACUUUCUUAACAUUCACGUCUACUUAACAUCAGUGCCCUGCAAUUGGAAUAAAAAGUUACACCUGUUACAUGUCUUCUGUCCAUAUAGAAUAGACUCACUGCCUUAUUUAUUUUUUUACUUAAGAAGUUGCAAGACAUGGUGAAAAGGCAAAUGUUGAUAAAUAUGUAGUAGCAAAUAUAGGUGAUGGGAGGAAAUGAAGAUUAAAUAGAAGAGGUAGUUAUUAUAUAUGAAAAAAAGUGGUAGAAUGAAUGAGAUCAAUAAAACAGGUGGAAUCAAAGGUGGAAUCACUUCAAAACUGAGGUAAAGUUUUAGGAGUUGAUUUUAACAUUUUCCUUGACCAUCUUAGGAGUUGACAUGUGAUUCUAUUUAUUACUCAGGUCCAAUAUGAUGGAACAAUUUUUUGUAACAAAUGAUUUUGCUUCUCCUGUCAUUUUUUAUCCUUCAGCUUGGCAAAGUUGAAUAAAUAAUUUGGUUCAAUGAGAGUGUCUAAUUCUUUUACAUUAUAAGAUGGUAAAGAGGUCAUCCAACAACAUGGAAUCAAUUGGUAUUAGACAAUUUGCAGACAUGUAUUUAAUAUUAUAUUUGGAGUGGUUACUGAAAUUUGAGUUCCUAUAUGAAGAAUUAAUGGAUAUGAAUGAACUCAAAUGCUCAUAUAUUUCUCUCAUAUUCUGUUUAACAUGUGUUUUUCACUUUGGAUUUGUAGCUGGUCUAUUUCUAGAAAUUAUAUUGGCCAUGCAAUCAUGACUUAUUUAUCAAUUCUAUUGGUUGCAUGUACUCUUGGAACUUGCUAUCAUGUCUUUAACAAAAUUCUUCUAUCAUCA